Non-coding RNA from Podarcis lilfordi (Lilford's wall lizard), 130 nucleotides. Lineage: Eukaryota; Metazoa; Chordata; Lepidosauria; Squamata; Lacertidae. The record is from the annotation of a GenBank genome assembly.
UUUAGUCUAGACCAGUGGUUCUCAACCUGUGGGUCCCCAGAUGUUGUUGGACUACAACUCCCAUCAUCCCUAGGGAGUUGUAGUCCAACAACGUCUGGGGACCCACAGGUUGAGAACCACUGGUCUAGAU